This 431-nucleotide ribosomal RNA is filed under the name uncultured bacterium. RNAcentral describes it as "partial 16S ribosomal RNA". It matches the Rfam family "Bacterial small subunit ribosomal RNA", at positions 29 to 507 of the family's 1533-position model. The record is from RNAcentral.
AACGAACGCUGGCGGCAGGCUUAACACAUGCAAGUCGAACGCCCCGCAAGGGGAGUGGCAGACGUGUGAGUAACGCGUGGGAACAUACCCUUUCCUGCGGAAUAGCUCCGGGAAACUGGAAUUAAUACCGCAUACGCCCUACGGGGGAAAGAUUUAUCGGGGAAGGAUUGGCCCGCGUUGGAUUAGCUAGUUGGUGGGGUAAAGGCCUACCAAGGCGACGAUCCAUAGCUGGUCUGAGAGGAUGAUCAGCCACAUUGGGACUGAGACACGGCCCAAACUCCUACGGGAGGCAGCAGUGGGGAAUAUUGGACAAUGGGCGCAAGCCUGAUCCAGCCAUGCCGCGUGAGUGAUGAAGGCCUUAGGGUUGUAAAGCUCUUUCACCGAUGAAGAUAAUGACGGUAGUCGGAGAAGAAGCCCCGGCUAACUUCGUG